UCGCGAAAACUUUGCAAUACACGAAAGUGUGACAGGGUCAUCCCGAGUGCCGACCGCUGAGGUUGGCUUUUACCCAGUCUAGAAAGCUGGGGGAAUAAGGAGAGGGCAAGUCUGGUGUCAGCCGCCGCGGUAAUACCAGCUCUUCGAGUGGUGUGGACGUUUAUUGGGCCUAAAGCAUCCGUAGCUGGCUGUGCAAGUCCCCUGUUAAACCCACCGAUUUAAUCGUUGGUCUGCGGGGGAUACUGCUCGGCUAGGGGACGAGAGAGGCAGACGGUAUUCCCGGGGUAGGGGUGAAAUCCUAUAAUCCCGGGAAGACCACCAGUGGCGAAGGCUGUCUGCUAGAACGCGCCCGACGGUGAGGGAUGAAAGCUGGGGGAGCGAACCGGAUUAGAUACCCGGGUAGUCCCAGCUGUAAACGAUGCAGACUAGGUGUUUGAACGGCCACGUGCCGUUCUAGUGCCGCAGGGAGCUGUUAAGUCUGCCGCCUGGGGAUACGAUCGCAAGGUUGAAACUUAAGGAAUUGGCGGGGAGCGACCACG
Molecule: ribosomal RNA, 539 nt
Filed under: uncultured archaeon
Lineage: Archaea
Description: bacterial SSU rRNA
Rfam family: Archaeal small subunit ribosomal RNA
Source: RNAcentral